This is a long non-coding RNA of Eriocheir sinensis (Chinese mitten crab), 1008 nucleotides long. RefSeq lists it as uncharacterized. The transcript is spliced from 4 exons. Lineage: Eukaryota; Metazoa; Arthropoda; Malacostraca; Decapoda; Varunidae. The record is from RefSeq and is a predicted model, not a curated record.
GUUUACUAAGCGACCACAACACAGGACGAAGGACCUCCGGAAAAGUCUUUAUAUUUAGUGAUUUUUUCCAGUUACCAAGCCUCUCUUCAUCCUUUAGGCCCGCCUGGAAGCUCUACACGUUCCUCCUCACGCCCUAUUGUAAACAAAUGACGUCACGGCCUCGUCCACCAAUCAGCGCGCGGCAGAUCGAGUCGUGCCCUGGGGAGCAGGAGGAACGGCACCUGAGGACAGACAGACACCUGGCACUCCAAGCUCAUCCUCGACUCAGCUUGGCUCAGCGUCUCUCGCCUUGUUGUAUUUUGAAUUUUGAUUUAUUUCCUUGUUUUCAUGGUUUUGUCGAGUUCUCACAUACUAUGUUAGAUAAUAUAGUUCAAGGUCUUGGUUCUCUAAAAAAAAAACCUGUCAACAUUUCCCAUAUUUUUCCACAUCCAAUCUCUUUCUGUCACUGAAUUGCCGGCCGAAGUAUAAGGCAAAAAUAUAAAAUCUUUCAAGUACAUUUAACCAGUACUCUAGUUAUUGAUACUGACAUAAUAGUUACGAUGAAUUCCCUUUCUUUUCAGUCGACCAGAAACUUUACUAUGUCAUUAUUUGCAGCCCACAAUGUCAAGAAUCAUUUCAGGAGCACUUUGACAAACCUCAUGUCUCUUUUAGGGACAGACAAGGCAAGAGGAUGGCGCCAGUGUCAACACCAUAUCAAGAGUAGCAAGAGAAUGGAAGAAGAACAGUGACAGUGAUAGCAACACAUCAAGAGGAACAAGAAUAGGAACAGAAACACCAUAUCAAGAGUAGAAAAAAAAAAGAGGAAUGGUGGUAGUGAUAAUACAGGGAGGAAAAGGAGAGCAGCAACAGCAUCCAUCACCCUGUAAAGAGUAUCCUCUUCACAAGUGUCAGACAACAAAGGUGGUGUGAUGGUGGGAACUGUCUGUACAGGUGAAAGGGAAGGUGGUUACUGGACAGCUCAUCCCCACACUUGUUUUCUCAUCUGUGCUGCACCCGAGUCAUUAGCGC